Perca fluviatilis (European perch) is the source of this 876-nucleotide long non-coding RNA. RefSeq lists it as uncharacterized. NCBI's taxonomy places the organism in Eukaryota, Metazoa, Chordata, Actinopteri, Perciformes, Percidae. The transcript has 2 exons. The record is from RefSeq and is a predicted model, not a curated record.
CAACAGAAGACAGAAAAAAUACAUAGAAUCCAAAUGAGCAUUGACAAUGACGCCGUUUAUUCCUAAUUUACAUUCAGUCUCAUGGAUCUGUAACUGUGUUUUUCAGAUGCUGGACCAACUGUGUUGGAUCGUCAGCCAUGAAAUCAGAUGAGCAGUUUUGUUCUUUUCAGGUCUUUUUGCGGUCUGGGCUUGCUGUCAAAUGACUAUCCAGGAAGCCCUUACCCCAAAAAGCAUCUGCAAGGGACCCUUACAUCAAGGAAGGUUUUCAUGGAAUUCCCUCUUGACACUUGACCUCAAUUUUUAUAUUUUUUGAAUUCAAUGUUUUUCAAUUUGCUCAUCAAUCAAGUUUGAGAGAAUACAAUUGGGAAAUUUGACUUUGCCAACACAAAAGGUUCAUGUUUCCUGAGCAUCAGAAUUGAAACCCAUUACUCCAAUUCUCAAUGUGUCUGAAGCACCACAUAGUUCCUCCAGAGGGUGGCAGCAUUGCUCAAUUCUAUUGACGCUGAGGAAAUCUGACUUGAAUCCACACACGACAAAUCCAUGGACAGACAAGCAGUUAAGAUGAUGACCAUGAUCUUGAUGGUAGUCUCCUUGUGUGUUGCAUAUAUAAUGCCAUAAGCUAGUAAUUUUAUUUAUUCAUGAUUACAAUCUUUAAUGUAACACAGGUGUAACAUUUGUUUUCUACAUUUUGUUUGGCUGUUCAAGUGUGUCAUACAUUUUAAAAAAUCUGGAGGCACACAUUUUGUCCAUAAAGUGAAUGAGAAGUUGUUGUCUCUGCUAGUAUUUAGCAGCCUACACAGCAUUGCAUUGGUGAAGAAUGUGAAUUAUGAGCUCCUGUGAACACGUCUCGACUCAAUAAAAAAAUGUCCGCACACA